Molecule: ribosomal RNA, 472 nt
Filed under: uncultured bacterium
Lineage: Bacteria
Description: bacterial SSU rRNA
Rfam family: Bacterial small subunit ribosomal RNA
Source: RNAcentral
UUCGCAAUGCCCGAAAGGGUGAACGAGCGACGCCGCGUGCGGGAUGAAGGGUUUCGGCUUGUAAACCGCUUUUCUUUGGGAAGAAGGUCUGUCUCGUGCAGAUGGGCUCGACGGUACCAGAGGAAUAAGCCUCGGCUAACUCCGUGCCAGCAGCCGCGGUAAGACGGAGGAGGCAAGCGUUGUUCGGAUUUACUGGGCGUAAAGGGUGUGUAGGCGGUUGCGUCAGUCUGGUGUGAAAUCUUCACCGCUCAACGGGAAGGAGCCACUGGAAACUGCGCAACUCGAGUGUGGUAGAGGCUAGCGGAAUUCCUGGUGUAGCGGUGGAAUGUGUAGAUAUCAGGAAGAACAUCUGUGGCGAAGGCGGCUGGCUGGGCCAUCACUGACGCUGAGACACGAAAGCGUGGGGAGCGAACGGGAUUAGAUACCCCGGUAGUCCACGCUGUAAACGGUGGGCACUAAGUAGAGGGGUUUU